Molecule: ribosomal RNA, 545 nt
Filed under: uncultured bacterium
Lineage: Bacteria
Description: bacterial SSU rRNA
Rfam family: Bacterial small subunit ribosomal RNA
Source: RNAcentral
CGGCAGCACGGAGCUUGCUCUGGUGGCGAGUGGCGAACGGGUGAGUAAUAUGUCGGAACGUACCCUAGAGUGGGGGAUAACGUAUCGAAAGUUACGCUAAUACCGCAUACGAUCUAAGGAUGAAAGUGGGGGAUCGCAAGACCUCAUGCUCGUGGAGCGGCCGAUAUCUGAUUAGCUAGUUGGUAGGGUAAAAGCCUACCAAGGCAUCGAUCAGUAGCUGGUCUGAGAGGACGACCAGCCACACUGGAACUGAGACACGGUCCAGACUCCUACGGGAGGCAGCAGUGGGGAAUUUUGGACAAUGGGCGAAAGCCUGAUCCAGCAAUGCCGCGUGAGUGAAGAAGGCCUUCGGGUUGUAAAGCUCUUUUGUCAGGGAAGAAACGGUGAGAGCUAAUAUCUCUUGCUAAUGACGGUACCUGAAGAAUAAGCACCGGCUAACUACGUGUCUGCACCCGCGGUAAUACGUAGGGUGCAAGCGUUAAUCGGAAUUACUGGGCGUAAAGCGUGCGCAGGCGGUUUUGUAAGUCUGAUGUGAAAUCCCCGGG